This is a non-coding RNA of Trichonephila clavata, 88 nucleotides long. NCBI's taxonomy places the organism in Eukaryota, Metazoa, Arthropoda, Arachnida, Araneae, Nephilidae. The record is from the annotation of a GenBank genome assembly.
UGGAAAACACCGGUUCUCGUUCGAUCACCGAAGCUAAACAUCGGUGCGCGGUCAGUACUUGGGAGGAUAACCACCUGGGAACAUCACG